RNAcentral lists this ribosomal RNA (497 nucleotides) under uncultured bacterium. RNAcentral describes it as "partial 16S ribosomal RNA". It matches the Rfam family "Bacterial small subunit ribosomal RNA", at positions 28 to 507 of the family's 1533-position model. The record is from RNAcentral.
GAUGAACGCUGGCGGCGUGCCUAAUACAUGCAAGUCGAGCGAACAGACGAUGCGCUUGCUCCUCUGACGUUAGCCGCGGACGGGUGUGUAACACGUGUAUACCCUACCUAUAUGACUGGGAUAAUUUCGAGAAACCGGAGCUAAUACCGGAUAAUAUAUUGCACCGCAUGGUGCAAUAGUGAAAGACGGUGUUUCGGUCUCUUCUCGCUGCUUCUGCGCCGCAUUAGCUAGUAGGUAGGGUCAAGGCUUACCAAGGCAAGGAGGCGUAGACGACCUGAGUGAGUGGUAGGCCACACUGGAGGUGAGCCGCGGUCCAGAGUCCUGCGGGAGGGAGCAGUAUGGAAUCUUCCGCAGUGGGCGAAAGCUUGACGGAGCAACGGCGCGUGAGUUGUGAAGGUCCUGGGAUCGUGAAACUCGGUUACUAGGUAUGAACAAAUGUGUAAGGUAAUGUGCAGGUCUUGACGGUAAUGAAUCAGAAAGCCACGGCUAACUACGUG